RNAcentral lists this ribosomal RNA (446 nucleotides) under uncultured bacterium. Its description in RNAcentral is "bacterial SSU rRNA". It matches the Rfam family "Bacterial small subunit ribosomal RNA", at positions 354 to 796 of the family's 1533-position model. The record is from RNAcentral.
GUGAGGAAUUUUCCGCAAUGGGCGAAAGCCUGACGGAGCAAUGCCGCGUGAAGGAUUGACGGCCCUAUGGGUUGUAAACUUCUUUUGUAUAGGAAUAAACCCUCGUUCGUGAACGAGGCUGAAGGUACUAUAAGAAUAAGCACCGGCUAACUCCGUGCCAGCAGCCGCGGUAAUACGGAGGGUGCAAGCGUUAUCCGGAUUUAUUGGGUUUAAAGGGUCCGUAGGCGGCUCGUUAAGUCAGUGGUGAAAUCCUACCGCGCAACGGUAGAACUGCAAUGGAUACUGGCGAGCUUGAGUAUGUAUGAAGUUGGCGGAAUGUGUGGUGUAGCGGUGAAAUGCUUAGAUAUCACACAGAACACAGAUUGCGAAGGCAGCUGACUAAUACACAACUGACGCUGAGGGACGAAAGUGUGGGGAUCAAACAGGAUUAGAAACCCCAGUAGUCC